AAAGAAUUAGUUAAUUUUAUAACAUUAAUAUGUCAAGUUAAAAUUAUUUUGAUAGAAUAUUCUUUA
This 66-nucleotide transfer RNA is filed under the name Xanthostigma gobicola. RNAcentral describes it as "tRNA-Asp". The record is from RNAcentral. Lineage: Eukaryota; Metazoa; Arthropoda; Insecta; Raphidioptera; Raphidiidae.